AUGGGCCCUGAUGGGAUGCACCCACGAGUGCUGAGGGAGCUGGCAGAUGUUAUUGCUAGGCCACUCUCCAUCAUCUUGGAAAGGACACAGGUAUCAGGAGAGGUGCCUGAGGACUGGAAGAAGGCUAAUGUCGCUCCAGUCUUCAAAAAGGGCAAGGAGGAGGACCCAGGGAACUACAGGCCAGUCAGGCUCACCUCCAUCCCUGGAAAGGUGAUGGAGCAGCUCGUCCUGGGGGCCAUCUCUAAGCACAGGAAGGACAAAAAGGUGAUCAGGAGUAGUCAACAUGGAUUCACAAAGGGGAAAUUGUGCUUAACCAAUCUGAUAGCCUUCUACGAUGGGAUGACUAGCUGGGUAGAUGAGGGGAGAGCAGUGGAUGUUGUCUACCUUGACUUCAGGAAGGCUUUCCACACUGUCUCCCACAACAUCCCCAUAGGCAAGCUGAUGAAGUACGGGCUAGAUGAGCAGACAGUGAGGUGGACUGAGAACUGGCUGAAGGGCAGAGCUCAGAGGGUUGUGAUCAGUGUUGCAAAGUCUAGUUGGAGGCCAGUAGCUGGCAGUGUACCACGGGGGUCAAUACUGGGUCCAAUCCUCUUCUACUUCUUCAUCAGUGGCCUGGAUGAAAGGACAGAGUGCCUCCUCGGCAAGUUUGCUGAUGAUACGAAACUGGGAGGAGUGGCUGAUACACCAGAGGACUGGAGAGACAGGUUGGAAAGAUGGGCAGAGAGGAACCUUGUGAAGUUCAUUAAAGCCAAGUGCAGGGUCCUGCACCGAGGGAGGAAUAACCCCCUGCAGCAGGACAGGCUGGGGGCUGACCUGCUGGAAAGCAGCUCUGCAGAGAAGGACCUGGGGGUCCUGGUGGACAAGAAGUUGACUAUGGGCUUUUUUUUUUCCUUCAAAAUUUCUUUGAAAACUGUCAAUGUUACUGAGGUGAAUCUAGUAGUCUGUAGUUGCCUGGAUAUAAGGAACAGGCAAUAUUUGUCAGAUAAGAUGUCUGGGGAAUGUUAG
Molecule: long non-coding RNA, 1005 nt
Filed under: Apteryx haastii (Great spotted kiwi)
Lineage: Eukaryota; Metazoa; Chordata; Aves; Apterygiformes; Apterygidae
Description: lncRNA (ENSAHAG00000000773.1)
Source: RNAcentral